Molecule: ribosomal RNA, 460 nt
Filed under: uncultured bacterium
Lineage: Bacteria
Description: partial 16S ribosomal RNA
Rfam family: Bacterial small subunit ribosomal RNA
Source: RNAcentral
CCUACGGGUGGCAGCAGUGAGGAAUAUUGGUCAAUGGCCGUAAGGCUGAACCAGCCAAGUCGCGUGAAGGAAGAAGGAUCUAUGGUUUGUAAACCUCUUUUAUAGGGGAAUAAAUGUAUCCACGUGUGGAUAUUUGCAUGUACCCUAUGAAUAAGCAUCGGCUAACUCCGUGCCAGCAGCCGCGGUAAUUCGGAGGAUGCGAGCGUUAUCCGGAUUUAUUGGGUUUAAAGGGUGCGUAGGUUGUUUUUUAAGUCAGAGGUGAAAGUUUGUGGCUCAACCAUAGAAUUGCCGUUGAAACUGGAAGACUUGAGUAUGUUUGAGGUAGGCGGAAUUCGUGGUGUAGCGGUGAAAUGCAUAGAUAUCACGAAGAACUCCGAUUGCGAAGGCAGCUUGCUAAGACAUAACUGACACUGAGGCACGAAAGCGUGGGGAUCAAACAGGAUUAGAUACCCUGGUAGUC